This 1555-nucleotide ribosomal RNA is filed under the name Staphylococcus aureus. Lineage: Bacteria; Bacillati; Bacillota; Bacilli; Caryophanales; Staphylococcaceae. The record is from RNAcentral.
UUUUAUGGAGAGUUUGAUCCUGGCUCAGGAUGAACGCUGGCGGCGUGCCUAAUACAUGCAAGUCGAGCGAACGGACGAGAAGCUUGCUUCUCUGAUGUUAGCGGCGGACGGGUGAGUAACACGUGGAUAACCUACCUAUAAGACUGGUAAGAUCCCUCAAAGAUGAUGAGGUUAAUAGGUUCGAGGUGGAAGCAUGGUGACAUGUGGAGCUGACGAAUACUAAUCGAUCGAAGACUUAAUCAAAAUAAAUGUUUUGCGAAGCAAAAUCACUUUUACUUACUAUCUAGUUUUGAAUGUAUAAUUUACAUUCAUAUGUCUGGUGACUAUAGCAAGGAGGUCACACCUGUUCCCAUGCCGAACACAGAAGUUAAGCUCCUUAGCGUCGAUGGUAGUCGAACUUACGUUCCGCUAGAGUAGAACGUUGCCAGGCAAGUUGAGACCGUAAGGUCUCUUUUUUUUAUGUCUAAAACGUCAAAAUAAAAAGCAAACACAAAGAAAAAUGGCUUGGCGAAGUGAAAACGUUUGAAUCUGACGAAACGAGAAAAGAGCGCAACGAGUUUAGUAGAGCUAAAUGAGUAAGUGAGAGCCGAAGGAGAGGAAAGAAGCAAGCGAUUGUCACAAGUCAAGAAAGGUCUUUAGCGGCGAUGGUAGCCAACUUACGUUCCGCUAGAGUAGAACGUUGCUAGGCAAGAAAUGGAUGUGAUGAGCCGCAUUGAGUGUGAAAUUGAUAUUUUAAUAAUGUGCACUUUUGAUUAUUUAAAUCUGUGACUAGAAGUAUAAGUGAAGACAUUCAGAAGUAUUAUAAAAAGUGAACAGCAGUAAGAUAGUUUUUAAUCAUAAAUCAUCUUACUGCUGUUUUUAGAUUUUAUGUCUAAUAUUUUUUAAAUCGAAAUACAAAAAGGAAAUUAAUUAUUAUACAAUAGACAAGCUAUUGCAUAAGUAACACUAACUUUUGUCAAAGAAGUGUUACUAUAUAAUUAAUACUUUUGAAAGUAACUAAUUCCAAAACAGUGUAAAUAAAGGAAGCGUAUAUCAUGAAGCAACCUAUUUUAAAUAAAUUAGAAAGUUUAAAUCAAGAAGAAGCGAUUUCUUUGCAUGUUCCGGGUCAUAAAAAUAUGACUAUCGGUCAUUUAUCUCAAUUAUCAAUGACAAUGGAUAAAACUGAAAUACCUGGAUUAGAUGAUUUACAUCAUCCUGAAGAAGUCAUUUUGGAAAGUAUGAAGCAGGUGGAGAAACAUUCAGAUUAUGAUGCUUAUUUCUUAGUGAAUGGCACCACUUCAGGAAUAUUAUCUGUCAUCCAGUCUUUUUCACAGAAAAAAGGCGAUAUCUUAAUGGCAAGAAAUGUACAUAAAUCUGUGUUACAUGCGCUCGAUAUUAGCCAACAAGAAGGGCAUUUUAUUGAAACGCAUCAAAGUCCGUUAACGAAUCAUUAUAAUAAAGUUAAUUUAAGCCGUUUGAAUAAUGACGGUCACAAACUUGCUGUGUUGACUUAUCCUAACUAUUACGGUGAAACAUUUAAUGUAGAAGAGGUUAUCAAAUCUUUGCACCAAUUAAA